This 444-nucleotide long non-coding RNA is filed under the name Olea europaea (common olive). RNAcentral's name for it is "long non-coding RNA (OEUR_LNC014348)". The record is from RNAcentral. Lineage: Eukaryota; Viridiplantae; Streptophyta; Magnoliopsida; Lamiales; Oleaceae.
GUUGGGCUGUGAUGACCAAUGACCUUUUUUCUGGGCUGUGAUGACAAAUGGGCUAAAGCCCAAUAACUGUUUUUUAUCAACUUAGGCUCUUGCCCAAUAAAAUGACCCGAUCCGCCCCGGCCCAAAUGGUAGAUAAAAACGUGUUUUGGCGUGGCAUAUUUUAAUGCAGCCAAACACGCCUUUCUUCAGUUAAAUGGGUGCCUCUUGACCGUUGGAUUGAACUUGAUCUAAUGGUGGAUCUUGUGGUAUAUAUAUACUUGGCCCCUUUUGCCCUAAUUGAUUUGGACCGUCAUUUUUCUUUCUCUCCAGCUGCGGCUGAGGUUCCAGAGUAUUCCAUUCUCUCUUCUUUGUCUUCUUCGUGAGAGUCCAAUCUCUGAUUGGAUUUGGUUUCUGUGUGAUUCCAUCUUUGUGUUCCUUAAUACUGUGUGUAUUGGAGAGUUUGGU